GUCCACGCCCUAAACUAUGCAUACUAGGUAUUGGCAGUAUCGACCCUGUCAGUGCCGUUUAAAAGCUAACGCGUUAAGUAUGCCGCCUGGGGAGUACGGCCGCAAAGGCUAAAACUCAAAGAAAUAGACGGGGACCCGCACAAGCGGUGGAGCAUGUGGUUUAAUUCGACGGUAAACGGGGAACCUUACCAGGGCUCAACUACUAGCUGCAAGCCACCAGAAACGGUGGCCGCCUUCGAGGGUGCUAGAUAGGUGCUGCAUGGUUGCCGU
Molecule: ribosomal RNA, 270 nt
Filed under: uncultured bacterium
Lineage: Bacteria
Description: partial 16S ribosomal RNA
Rfam family: Bacterial small subunit ribosomal RNA
Source: RNAcentral